GCUCUUCUAGUAUACUUAUUACAAUAGACUUCCAAUCUUUAAAAUCUGGCAAGACCCCAGAGAAGAGCA
This 69-nucleotide transfer RNA is filed under the name Cacatua moluccensis (salmon-crested cockatoo). RNAcentral describes it as "tRNA-Gly". Lineage: Eukaryota; Metazoa; Chordata; Aves; Psittaciformes; Cacatuidae. The record is from RNAcentral. RNAcentral also lists the same sequence under 4 other names.